AAGGUACGGGAGGCAGCAGUGGGGAAUAUUGCGCAAUGGGGGCAACCCUGACGCAGCCAUGCCGCGUGAAUGAAGAAGGCCUGGUUGUAAGUUCUUUCGGUAGCGAGGAAGGCAUUUAGUUUAAUAGACUAGGUGAUUGACGUUAACUACAGAAGAAGCACCAGCUAACUCCGUGCCAGCAGCCGCGGUAAUCCUU
This 196-nucleotide ribosomal RNA is filed under the name uncultured bacterium. Its description in RNAcentral is "partial 16S ribosomal RNA". It matches the Rfam family "Bacterial small subunit ribosomal RNA", at positions 332 to 528 of the family's 1533-position model. The record is from RNAcentral.